This 488-nucleotide long non-coding RNA is filed under the name Triticum aestivum (bread wheat). RNAcentral's name for it is "long non-coding RNA (TAES_LNC005096)". Lineage: Eukaryota; Viridiplantae; Streptophyta; Magnoliopsida; Poales; Poaceae. The record is from RNAcentral.
UCGAGGAUAUCCUGCUCGACGAUGCUCCUCUUCGCCAGCAUCUCUAGCGCGUGGUGAGCUUCCCCUGUCCCCUCCCUUUACUCAUGGUUGCCCGUGCGUUUUGGUUCAGAUUAGGAAUAGGGUACAAUUUAUUUGUAUGCGUAUGGGUACAGAUUAGGAGUAGGAGAUGUAGUUGUGGGCACAGUUUUAGUAAAAUUUCAGUAAACAUAGUGAGCGUGUUUUACUCCAGUAAUCUUGCUUGAAGUAAAUUUCAGUAACUUUAGUAAUCUUGCUUCAAGUACUCUGAAAAUAUGAAAAUAUACUCAGAAAAUGUAUUGCUUGUACUGCUGAUCUUGCAGAUAGGAGGAGAGUUCUUGUACUCACAUCAGCUGUUGAUCUGCAACAACUCUAGGAGUGGGAUUGACAUUGUCAUUGUGGUUUCAGUAGAAAUGACCUUCUUCCUAAUUAGUAACAGAGAUCAAAGUUAAUAUAUUUGUGAUAUUUUCGUG